UAGGGAAUCUUCGGCAAUGGACGAAAGUCUGACCGAGCAACGCCGCGUGAGUGAAGAAGGUUUUCGGAUCGUAAAACUCUGUUGUUAGAGAAGAACAAGGACGUUAGUAACUGAACGUCCCCUGACGGUAUCUAACCAGAAAGCCACGGCUAACUACGUGCCAGCAGCCGCGGUAAUACGUAGGUGGCAAGCGUUGUCCGGAUUUAUUGGGCGUAAAGCGAGCGCAGGCGGUUUCUUAAGUCUGAUGUGAAAGCCCCCGGCUCAACCGGGGAGGGUCAUUGGAAACUGGGAGACUUGAGUGCAGAAGAGGAGAGUGGAAUUCCAUGUGUAGCGGUGAAAUGCGUAGAUAUAUGGAGGAACACCAGUGGCGAAGGCGGCUCUCUGGUCUGUAACUUACGCUGAGGCUCGAAAGCGUGGGGAGCAAACAGG
This 429-nucleotide ribosomal RNA is filed under the name Gemmatimonadota bacterium. RNAcentral's name for it is "Gemmatimonadetes bacterium partial 16S ribosomal RNA". It matches the Rfam family "Bacterial small subunit ribosomal RNA", at positions 355 to 776 of the family's 1533-position model. Lineage: Bacteria; Pseudomonadati; Gemmatimonadota. The record is from RNAcentral.